GGCAGGGGUGACCGUGUGAUCGGGGUGAUUCAACUCUCAACCAGGUGGUCCAGGCCGUGCAAAGAUAGGGGAAGAACACCUUCCAGGUUCCGCAGGACCCUGGACAUCGGGUGUGAAGUCUGCCGCCUUGAGGAAACCACUCCCGCAGACUUCUUUAACAGUGUGGCUUCCGUGUGCACUUGGCCUGGGCCCCCAUCUGUCACCCUCAGGAUUCCCGAUUCUGUCCUGUCUUGGACCUUCUGAAUCCUGGACCCCAUAAUCUGGGUUCCUAAUGACUGAAGUUCCAAUACUUUGGCCACCUGAUGUGAAGAGCCGACUCACCGGAAAAGACCCUGAUGCUGGGAAAGACUGAAGGCAGGAGGAGAAGGGGACGACAGAGGAUGGGAUGGUU
Cervus elaphus (red deer) is the source of this 391-nucleotide long non-coding RNA. RefSeq lists it as uncharacterized. The record is from RefSeq and is a predicted model, not a curated record. Lineage: Eukaryota; Metazoa; Chordata; Mammalia; Artiodactyla; Cervidae. The transcript has 3 exons.